RNAcentral lists this ribosomal RNA (253 nucleotides) under uncultured bacterium. Its description in RNAcentral is "partial 16S ribosomal RNA". It matches the Rfam family "Bacterial small subunit ribosomal RNA", at positions 524 to 776 of the family's 1533-position model. The record is from RNAcentral.
GACGAACCGUGCGAACGUUGUUCGGAAUCACUGGGCUUAAAGGGCGCGUAGGCGGCUUGCCAAGUCCGGGGUGAAAUCCUCCAGCUUAACUGGAGAAGUGCCUUGGAUACUGAUGAGCUCGAGGGAGGUAGGGGUGUGUGGAACUUCCGGUGGAGCGGUGAAAUGCGUUGAUAUCGGAAGGAACGCCGGUGGCGAAAGCGACGCACUGGACCUCUUCUGACGCUGAGGCACGAAAGCUAGGGGAGCAAACGGG